RNAcentral lists this ribosomal RNA (278 nucleotides) under uncultured bacterium. RNAcentral describes it as "partial 16S ribosomal RNA". It matches the Rfam family "Bacterial small subunit ribosomal RNA", at positions 29 to 334 of the family's 1533-position model. The record is from RNAcentral.
AACGAACGCUGGCGGCAUGCCUAACACAUGCAAGUCGAACGAGACCUUCGGGUCUAGUGGCGCACGGGUGCGUAACGCGUGGGAAUCUGCCCUUGGGUUCGGAAUAACUCGCCGAAAGGCGUGCUAAUACCGGAUGAUGUCGUAAGACCAAAGAUUUAUCGCCCAGGGAUGAGCCCGCGUAAGAUUAGGUAGUUGGUGAGGUAAAGGCUCACCAAGCCGACGAUCUUUAACUGGUCUGAGAGGAUGAUCAGCCACACUGGGACUGAGACACGGCCCAG